UAGUAAUUCUAGAGCUAAUACGUGCAACAAACCCCGACUUCUGGAAGGGAUGCAUUUAUUAGAUAAAAGGUCAACGCGGGUUUUGGCCGUUGCUCUGAUGAUUCAUGAUAACUUGAUGGAUCACACGACCUUUGUGCCGGCGACACAUCAUUCAAAUUUCUACCCUAUCAACUUUUGAUGGUAGGAUAGUGGCCUACUAUGGUGGUGACGGGUGACGGAGAAUUAGGGUUCAAUUCCAGAGAGGUAGCUUGAGAAACGGCUACCACAUCCAAGGAAGGCAGCAGGCACGCAAAUUACCCAAUCCUGACACGGGGAGGUAGUGAUAAUAAAUAACAAUACUGGGCUCUAUGAGUCUGGUAAUUGGAAUGAAUACAAUCUAAAUCCCUUAACGAGGAUCCAUAGUAGGGCAAGUCUGGUGCCAGCACCCGCGGUAAUUCCAGCUCCAAUAGCGUAUAGUUAAGUUGUUGCAGUUAAAAAGCUCGUAGUUGGACUUAGGGGUGGGUCGGCCGGUCCGCCUCACGGUGAGCACC
Molecule: non-coding RNA, 530 nt
Filed under: Gossypium arboreum
Lineage: Eukaryota; Viridiplantae; Streptophyta; Magnoliopsida; Malvales; Malvaceae
Description: Eukaryotic small subunit ribosomal RNA
Rfam family: Eukaryotic small subunit ribosomal RNA
Source: Rfam by way of RNAcentral